GAACAAAGUUAUUAGGUAUGUGAAGGUAAGCAAAAGCCCUCUUGUGGAUUAAAUUGAAAAUGCAGAUGUGAUCCAAUGAGAACAGAAAAAAAUUCAAGUACUAUCAGCCUGAGAACUAAAGUUGCAGUUAGAUUUCUAUGUGCGUUGAGGCAGAAUCAUUGCACAGAGUCGGCUCUGGAACUACUGGUCACACAUUGCAGCUUUACUUGAUAUUCACAGUCCUCAGUUCAUUAUGUUUUUAUGUGAUAAAACAAAGCUAAAAUUAGAGCUACACUACGGGGAGAUUUAUUAUUAUUAUUUAUUUAUAAAGCGCCAACACAAGUACCAAGUAAAACGACAC
Molecule: non-coding RNA, 340 nt
Organism: Pelobates cultripes (western spadefoot toad)
Lineage: Eukaryota; Metazoa; Chordata; Amphibia; Anura; Pelobatidae
Source: the annotation of a GenBank genome assembly